RNAcentral lists this ribosomal RNA (497 nucleotides) under uncultured bacterium. RNAcentral describes it as "partial 16S ribosomal RNA". It matches the Rfam family "Bacterial small subunit ribosomal RNA", at positions 29 to 523 of the family's 1533-position model. The record is from RNAcentral.
AUUGAACGCUGGCGGCAUGCCUUACACAUGCAAGUCGAACGACGCUAGGGGCAACUCUAGCGAGUGGCGUACGGGUGAGUAAUGCAUCGGAACGUGCCCUCUCGUGGGGGAUAACCAGUCGAAAGAUUGGCUAAUACCGCAUGAGCUCGAGAGAGGAAAGCGGGGGAUCCGCAAGGACCUCGCGCGAGAGGAGCGGCCGAUGCCCGAUUAGCUAGUUGGUGGGGUAAAAGCCCACCAAGGCGACGAUCGGUAGCUGGUCUGAGAGGACGACCAGCCACACUGGGACUGGGACACGGCCCAGACUCCUACGGGAGGCAGCAGUGGGGAAUUUUGGACAAUGGGGGCAACCCUGAUCCAGCCAUGCCGCGUGUGUGAAGAAGGCCUUCGGGUUGUAAAGCACUUUCGGACGGAACGAAAUCGCGCGGGUGAACAAUCCGCGUGGAUGACGGUACCGUAAGAAGAAGCACCGGCUAACUACGUGCCAGCAGCCGCGGUAA